CUUAAAGGCGUGAAAGGAAGAGAGAAAGGUUCUCUCUUAUGCGUGGAAAAAUUGAGAAGAAGGGGUUCUUCUCUUGAUCUCUAUUAUAGAGAUCUGAUGCAUGAAUCCAGAAAGAAAAGCAGAGGGUCUCCUUAUUCUUCACUUUUAUGAUUCCUCCUAGAUCAGCCAAAGCAUGAUGUCCUCAUGAGCUAGCACUCUCGGG
Molecule: long non-coding RNA, 202 nt
Filed under: Elaeis guineensis (African oil palm)
Lineage: Eukaryota; Viridiplantae; Streptophyta; Magnoliopsida; Arecales; Arecaceae
Description: long non-coding RNA (EGUI_LNC053545)
Source: RNAcentral